GCAGCGAUAGCUCAGUUGGUAGAGCGCCUGGUUGAAGGCCAGGGCGUCGCCGGUUCAACUCCGGCUCGCUGCA
RNAcentral lists this transfer RNA (73 nucleotides) under Acidithiobacillus ferrooxidans ATCC 23270. It matches the Rfam family "tRNA". From Rfam's summary of the family: Transfer RNA (tRNA) molecules are approximately 80 nucleotides in length. Lineage: Bacteria; Pseudomonadati; Pseudomonadota; Acidithiobacillia; Acidithiobacillales; Acidithiobacillaceae. The record is from Rfam by way of RNAcentral.